This 440-nucleotide ribosomal RNA is filed under the name uncultured bacterium. RNAcentral's name for it is "partial 16S ribosomal RNA". It matches the Rfam family "Bacterial small subunit ribosomal RNA", at positions 338 to 795 of the family's 1533-position model. The record is from RNAcentral.
CCUACGGGAGGCUGCAGUGGGGAAUAUUGCGCAAUGGGCGAAACCCUGAUGCAGCGACGCCGCGUGGGGGAAGAAGGGCCUCGGCGCGUAAAGCCCUGUCAGCAGGGAAGAAAAUGACGGUACCUGUAGCAGAAGCCCCGGCUAACGACGUGCCAGCAGCCGCGGUAAUACGGAGGGGGCCAGCGUUAUCCGGAUUUACUGGGUGUAAAGGGGGCGCAGACGGCGAUGCAAGCCAGGAGUGAAAGCGCGGGGCCCAACCCCGGGACUGCUCUUGGAACUGGGUGGCUAGAGUGCAGGAGGGGCAGGCGGAAUUCCUGGUGUAGCGGUGAAAUGCGUAGAUAUCAGGAGGAACACCGGUGGCGAAGGCGGCCUGCUGGACUGCAACUGACGUUGAGGCCCGAAAGCGUGGGGAGCAAACAGGAUUAGAUACCCUUGUAGUC